RNAcentral lists this ribosomal RNA (468 nucleotides) under uncultured bacterium. RNAcentral's name for it is "partial 16S ribosomal RNA". It matches the Rfam family "Bacterial small subunit ribosomal RNA", at positions 28 to 507 of the family's 1533-position model. The record is from RNAcentral.
GACGAACGCUGGCGGCGUGCUUAACACAUGCAAGUCGAACGGAAAGGCCCUGCUUUUGUGGGGUGCUCGAGUGGCGAACGGGUGAGUAACACGUGAGUCACCUGCCCUUGACUUUGGGAUAACUUCAGGAAACUGGGGCUAAUACCGGAUAGGAGCUCCUGCUGCAUGGUGGGGGUUGGAAAGUUUCGGCGGUUGGGGAUGGACUCGCGGCUUAUCAGCUUGUUGGUGGGGUAGUGGCUUACCAAGGCUUUGACGGGUAGCCGGCCUGAGAGGGUGACCGGCCACAUUGGGACUGAGAUACGGCCCAGACUCCUACGGGAGGCAGCAGGGGGGAAUAUGGCACAAUGGGCGGAAGCCUGAUGCAGCAACGCCGCGUGCGGGAUGACGGCCUUCGGGUUGUAAACCGCUUUCGCCUGUGACGAAGCGUGAGUGACGGUAAUGGGUAAAGAAGCACCGGCUAACUACGUG